This 376-nucleotide long non-coding RNA is filed under the name Pongo abelii (Sumatran orangutan). RNAcentral describes it as "lincRNA". Lineage: Eukaryota; Metazoa; Chordata; Mammalia; Primates; Hominidae. The record is from RNAcentral.
CUCAGUAUUUAGAAGCAAAAAUUACCCUUAAGAAAAACAACCGCAAAUGCAACACAGGCUACACAGAUGAGAAAAUGGGGCUUGCAGAGCUCAAACCAUUACACCAUUCAGAAGCUGGCUUUGGUAUUACUUCAAGUUAUUCAAAACAGUCACCACUUGCUGAGCCUCUAAUGUCUCAUCUGUUGAAUGGAUUUCAAGAGAGAAGGCUGAAAAGGAAGGUGACUGGAAUAUUAAGAACUGUGAGAUAUUCUGAGGAAACUCUAAUUUGUAAAUUGGUAGAAAUGCCAGUAAUUUGUUGGGAAUUGAAGACCCUCUGUAUUCAAGAGCGAAGCUUGGCAGCUGUGCACUGUUGUUUUAUAAAUCAAUAUUACAUCUG